RNAcentral lists this ribosomal RNA (254 nucleotides) under uncultured bacterium. RNAcentral's name for it is "partial 16S ribosomal RNA". It matches the Rfam family "Bacterial small subunit ribosomal RNA", at positions 524 to 776 of the family's 1533-position model. The record is from RNAcentral.
UACGGAGGGGGCUAGCGUUGUCCGAAGUUACUGGGCGUAAAGCGCGUGUAGGCGGCUCGAUAAGUCCGGUGUGAAACCUUGGGGCUCAACCCCAAGCCUGCACUGGAUACUGCCGAGCUAGAGUCCGGGAGGGGAGAGCGGAAUUCCUAGUGUAGCGGUGAAAUGCGCAGAUAUUAGGAAGAACACCGGUGGCGAAGGCGGCUACUCUGGAACGGUACUGACGCUGAGACGCGAAAGCGUGGGGAGCGAACAGG